RNAcentral lists this ribosomal RNA (265 nucleotides) under uncultured prokaryote. Its description in RNAcentral is "partial 16S ribosomal RNA". It matches the Rfam family "Bacterial small subunit ribosomal RNA", at positions 524 to 788 of the family's 1533-position model. The record is from RNAcentral.
UACGGAGGAUCCGAGCGUUAUCCAGAUUUAUUGGGUUUAAAGGGUGCGCAGGCGGGAGAUUAAGUCGGCGGUGAAAUUUUGCAGCUCAACUGUAAAAGUGCCUUCGAAACUGGUUUCCUUGAGUGUGGAUGAAGUAGGCGGAAUUUGUGGUGUAGCGGUGAAAUGCAUAGAUAUCACGAGGAACUCCGAUUGCGCAGGCAGCUUACUAAACCAUAACUGACGCUCAGGCACGAAGGCGUGGGGAUCAAACAGGAUUAGAUACCCU